GGGAAUGGGCGGUAGGACUACACAUGCAAGUCGACGGCAGCACAGGAGAGCUUGCUCUCUGGGUGGCGAGUGGCGGACGGGUGAGGAAUACAUCGGAAUCUACUUUUUCGUGGGGGAUAACGUAGGGAAACUUACGCUAAUACCGCAUACGACCUACGGGUGAAAGCAGGGGACCCUCGGGCCUUGCGCGAUUGAAUGAGCCGAUGUCGGAUUAGCUAGUUGGCGGGGUAAAGGCCCACCAAGGCGACGAUCCGUAGCUGGUCUGAGAGGAUGAUCAGCCACACUGGAACUGAGACACGGUCCAGACUCCUACGGGAGGCAGCAGUGGGGAAUAUUGGACAAUGGGCGCAAGCCUGAUCCAGCCAUACCGCGUGGGUGAAGAAGGCCUUCGGGUUGUAAAGCCCUUUUGUUGGGAAAGAAAUCCAGCUGGCUAAUACCCGGUUGGGAUGACGGUACCCAAAGAAUAAGCACCGGCUAACUUCGUGCCAGCAGCCGCGGUAAUACGAAGGGUGCAAGCGUUACUCGGAAUUACUGGGCGUAGAGCGUGCGUAGGUGGUCGUUUAAGUCCGUUGUGAAAGCCCUGGGCUCAACCUGGGAACUGCAGUGGAUACUGGGCGACUAGAGUGUGGUACAGGGUAGCGGAAUUCCUGGUGUAGCAGUGAAAUGCGUAGAGAUCAGGAGGAACAUCCAUGGCGAAGGCAGCUACCUGGACCAACACUGACACUGAGGCACGAGAGCGUGGGGAGCAUACAGGAUUAGAUACCCUGGUAGUCCACGCCCUAGACGAUGCGAACUGGAUGUUGGGUGCAAUUUGGCACGCAGUAUCGAAGCUAACGCGUUAGUUCGCCGCCUGGGGAGUACGGUCGCAAGACUGAAACUCCACGGAAUUGACGGGGGCCCGCCCAAGCGGUGGACUAGGUGGUUUAAUUCGAUGCAACGCGAAAAACCUUACCUGGCCUUGACCUGUCAAUAACUUUCCAGAAAUGGAUCGUUGCUUUCGGAACUCGAAGCAAGUACUUGAUCGGUGGCGUCUUCUCUGGUCCUGAAAUGUCGGCUGAGUUCCACCACCAGGACUACCUUCGCCCUUAAUGGCAUCACGUACCGAUGGCAUCUUACGAAACCGCAGGGACGAACCGACUAGGUCGGUUGACAUAAUUCACUUGGCCCUACGGCAGGUUAGACGGGUUCCAUUGCUUGGACAAGGC
Molecule: ribosomal RNA, 1205 nt
Filed under: Stenotrophomonas maltophilia
Lineage: Bacteria; Pseudomonadati; Pseudomonadota; Gammaproteobacteria; Lysobacterales; Lysobacteraceae
Description: bacterial SSU rRNA
Rfam family: Bacterial small subunit ribosomal RNA
Source: RNAcentral